This 9101-nucleotide long non-coding RNA is filed under the name Populus trichocarpa (black cottonwood). RNAcentral describes it as "long non-coding RNA (PTRI_LNC004123)". The record is from RNAcentral. Lineage: Eukaryota; Viridiplantae; Streptophyta; Magnoliopsida; Malpighiales; Salicaceae.
UAUUUGUUCGGGAUCUCCCGCCAUGUUAUCUCCUGAAAAUUAGUUCAGAAUAAAUGUUCCCUGCAAUGAUCUGACAUGAACGAUCAUUUGUGUCCAGCUAAAACGAGAAAGAAGGAAGGGUUUAGUGCUAACCGUUGUAGGUUAAAAACCAGUAAAGUUCUCUAUCAUUAAGAGGAAUAAAACCAGCUCUUUUGCCCACAUCCACGAACUGAUGAACUUCUUGCUUAAAUCCAUGGCCUUGAGGAAAAACUGCUAAACCUCGCACAGCUGACCGCCCUGAAUGGACAGGUUCUGCCAGUCCUAGCCAACGUGCCACCACCGAGUUCACCCCAUCACAGCCUAUCAGAACCUUAGAUUUGAUUGUAGUUCCAUCUUCCAAAUGUAUAACAACAAUGGAAGCACCGCCUUACUCUUCAUUUUCAAUGACAGCUAGCUUGGAAGAGAAUUGAAUUGAGUCAACCGGCAAUUCCUCUGCCAGUGCCUCUAACAGUGCUUUGCGGUGAAGUGUCCUAAUUCCUUGUCCAUCGCCCCUAUUUCACACAAGACAAGGCAUUAAUUCACACCCAGAACUACGUCAUAGGAAGCGAAUAUUGAUGAGAGUGAAGUUUUGUCGGCAUAAACAUUAAGGAAUCCGGUCUGUCCAUUAUACAUCAGUAUAACUUUAUUGAACCGACAAAAAAUUUCUUUUAUGAUUCCGACAGCCAUUCAUAGUACAGAUCCUUGCAUGAAAUUGUACUAAAAAAUUAAUCAAGAAAUUAUUUUAUUAAGGUUCAAAAAGUUUACCCAUUAUUGGCCACUCGGGCGUGGACUUGUUGAACAUCUCCAGCACUAACAUUGGUUACAUAUCCCCUAAAUCAUACAAGAGGAAAAGAGAAGUGCACAGGAAACUAAUCAAUCACCCAGAAGAUAUAUAAUAUUCAAAUUCAAGAAACGAUGGACAGACAUGAUCAAAAGAAUAGAAUUAGUGUAGAGGGACAACUUAUUACAUCGAUGAAGGAGCAUAAAUGGGGGUGAGCUUGUGAGAAACACCGAGAGCAUCAAGAGCAAGCCAAGCAUUUGGAAAUAGAGUCAAGGCUGCACCUGUGGCUCUUAGCCCUUCUGAUCUCUCUAACACCAGGGCUCGAACCCCUACUCUUUUCAAAGCCACUGCUGUUGCCAACCCUGCAAUUCCUGCUCCGACUAUCACCACAUCCUCCAUCAUUUCCAUCUCCCUCUCCCUCUGCGUGUAUGAGUGUUUCCUUCUACAGGGUGCGUCGUCUUGUUCUUAUUAUAACCCCAUGUGCUUGGACUCCAAGUCUGACCAUGACCCACUUGUAUACAUAGUAUCUUGCAAGUAAUUAAGAAUAUAUUGUUUUUCUUCAUGGUUAUCUAGCCAAUUUGCGAGUUAAUAAAACUAAAUCUCUUUUUUGAACUAUUUAAAUAAAUAAAUAAAAAUCUAGAGGCGGCUCUUUGGUUAUUUAUCGUAUCUUUUGGAGUUAAGUAGAUAAGAACGUUCGAGGAGAGUGAUAAAGAAUUGUUUAAGCCAUAACGUUAAGCAAUCAUUUCAUAUUUUAUUUUGAUAAAAUUUCAAAUAUAUGAUAUCAAAUUUUGAUAAAAUUUCAAAUAUAUGAUAUCAAAUUAAAUCAUAAUUAUUAAAUUUAGGCAACAUGAUUGCUUGAUUUUUUAAUUGCAUCAGAUAAAAUAUUGAUCUAAUUAUUAUUUUUUUCGGUCAAAUUCAAAUUAAACUAGAUAUAAAAUAAUUACAUGAUCAAACCGGAUUCAAAUUAAACUAGAUAUAAAAUAAUCACAUGAUCAAACUGGAUUCAAAUUAAUCAACCCAAUAUCUUGUAAGAAAAAACUACUGUUUUAAUAAAAAUAGAUGUUUUGAUGACUUAUAUACUGACGUAAUAAUCUAACAACCCAAGCAUUUUCCAAGAUUAUUACCUAAGCUGAGUUUGACACCUAAUUAAAAGUGAACAUGCAUGAUUGAAAUUCGUAUUUCUUACCACCAGGGUGAUUGAAACCAAAUUCAGUUAUUAUAGGAUCUAAAAAUUAAUUUUUUAAUCUAUUUUUUUACUUUUAAACACAUUUAAUAAACACCCUUAUAAUUUUAACAAACUAAAUUCUUAAUUCAAAUAGCUUUGAAUUAGUCCAAAAACACAAAAUUAAAGUAAAAAAAAUUAUUUAUCAACUCUAAUUUACUUUUUCUGAUAAAAAAAAACACCAUAAUAUAACUCUUUCCAUCAAAUAAAGCCUAUUAAAACAAAAAACAACUAGUUGUCAUUGAAAUAUGAACAACCAUCAAUUAUCUUUGUUAAAGAGAAAAAGAUGAAAACUAAUAAGUGGUGGAUCAAUGAUUUAAUGACAAAUAUAGCUUUUAAAAUAUUUUUCUUCUCUUAAAAACAUAAUUAUUAAACAUGGUCUGAACUCUGAAUUGACAAAUUGAUCUAAAAAAUUUAAAAAUCAAAGUUUGACACAAGAUAAAUUUUUAAUUGAAUCAGAUAAAAUACUAAUCUUCCAAUCCUCAUCCAACUUGAUAAGUUUAAUGUUUUAUAGAAGAAAAAUAAAAAUUGUUAUUUUAAUAAAAUAAUUAACCUAGUGACCUAUUGAUUGAUAUAAUAACCCAAUUAUUCACAUCAAUCUCUAGAUUGGUCCGAAAACUAUUCUUCAGUUAUUUUUCCAAGUUUUCAAUUUCUUUUUUUUUCUAUUACCCAAAUUUUCUUAGAUAAGAAAGCGAACCAUAAACACACAUAUAUAACAAUAAUGUGAGGCAAAUAAUAAUAUCAAAGCAAAACAACAUUGACAAUAACUUCGAAGAAGAAAAAGACAGAAGCAAAAGAAAAUUCGUAUUUCUUACCUUCCUCUUCACUAUGAUAUUAUUCUUACUUUGACUAAUUAAUAAGACUUUUAAAAUAAAAAAACGACAAAACCAACAAAGAAGAAAAAGACUAACGCUACCUUCAACUUCACUAUGAUAUUUUGAUAGCAGCAGCAAGAGGCUAACUAUGUUGAAAUUGAGGGCAAUGCUCUAAAGAUAACAAUUUGCAGAAUCACUUGUCAGCACUGAAAUUUAGUCCUUCUUACUGGACAGAUCCAUUGCACCAAAGGAAAUAGCAGGAAGUCUUCCGCAGUCAUAAACAAAUACUAGUCUAGAAAGCCAGCCGAAAAAAUACUUGUAAAGUGCUCUGUCCCUGAGAAAUUUUAUCCACCAUUUAUCUCCUUGCUGCAUCCGUCCUGAUAAAUACGAUGCUGUGACAACCAUAGCGGCACGCCACCUCCUUUCCUUCACAUAAUCAUCUAUGGCUUUAGCCAUGUCUCCUGGAACAAUCAGGGCUCCAUUGUUUAUAAAUGAAUUGCCAAUGUGUCUGCCCAAUACCACAGCAUCUUCUAGUGAUGCACCACCACCGUUUCCUAGAUCAGGAGUCAUGGGGUGCAUAGCAUCACCAGCUACUGUCACAUUUCCUUUGCUUAGCUUUCCAAAUAUGAUCCCCCAUGGAGGCCUAAACAUCAAUGGUGCCCAUGAUAAUGAGGAAAGAUCGGCAUGCCGCACCACGUCUAGGUAUUCUGAGGGAAAUUUUUCUGUACAUUUCUCAAGCACAUCCCUUUGCAUUUUCUCUGCCUCUCCUGACAUCUUUUCCCCUGAAAUCAAAAUUAGCUCACUAUAAAACUUUCCCUGAAAUGAUCUGAUCACAUGAACCAAUAUUUGUGUCUUGCUAAAAUGAGAGAGAAAUUAAAGGGAUGAAGAGUGCUAAGUGCUUGCCUUGGCUAGAAAAAAACCAGUAAAGUUCCCUAUCAUUAAGAGGAACAAAACCAGCCUUAUCGCUCUCAUCCAUGAAAAAAAGAAAUUCUUGUUUAAAUCCAUGGCCUUGAGGAAAAACUGCUAAACCCCGCACCGUUGAUCGACCUGAAUGGACCAGUUCUGCCAGUCCUAGCCAUCGUGCCACGAACGAGUGCACCCCAUCGCAGCCUAUCAGAACCUUAGAUUUGAUAGUAGUUCCAUCUUCCAAGUGUACAGCAGCCAUGGAAGCAUCACCUCCUUGUUCUAGACUUUGAAAAGCAACUAGCCUCGAAGAGAAUCGAAUUGAGUCAGUUGCCAAUUCCUCUGCCAGUGCCUCUAACAACACUUUACGGUGAAGAGUCCUAAUUCCUUGUCGAGGGUAGAGGACUUCUCGAACUUCUCCGGUACUAACAUUGGUUACGUAUCCCCUAAAUCGUGAGAAAAAGAAGUUCACGAGAAAUUAAUCUAUCAUCCAAAGUAUUAAAAUCCAAAUUCAAGAAUUUAUAAAUAAUCAAACAUAAUGAAAAGAAAAAAUUAACAUGGUGAAACAAUUUAUUACUUGGGUGAAGGAGUAUAAAGGGGGAUGAGCUUGUGAGAAACACCAAGAGCAUCAAGGGCAAGCCAGGCAUUUGGAGAUAGGGUCAACGCUGUACCAGUGGCUCUUAGCCCUUCUGAUCUCUCUAACACCAGGGCUCGAACCCCUACUCUUUUCAAAGCCACUGCUGUUGCCAAGCCUGCAAUUCCUGCUCCAACUAUCACCACAUCCUCCAUCAGUUCCAUUUCUUCUUCUUCUUCUUCUAUGUGUGUGUGUUGCCGAUUACAUUGGCUAUUUGACUUCAUGUUGUUCUAAUUUAUAGCCCAAUGGGCUUGGAUUCCAAGUCUGGCCAUGACCCACAUAGAUUUACGUACCAUGUCUGGCAAGAAUGUUGAUGGAGAAUACAUUGACGGCUGCUGCCUUUUGGACCCAAUGCAUGGCACAGUCUUGUACCGGCCCGCCUGGCAGGCUAAACCAGUAAGUAACCUGUCGAUAUGACCUCCUAACCCGAUGCCAUGUUUUAAAUUAAACCCGGGUUUUUUUUCAAAAUAAUAUUAUUUUAUUACUAUUAUUAUUGAAACAAAAUUAUUUUAGGUUUACUAAAGUGAACUUAGAUUAAUAUGUUGAAUUAGUAAUGCAAUAUUGAAUCAAGUUUAAUAAUGGUGACCUAAAGUCCUAAUGUUUUAAAUUCACCCCAUGAUGACUUUAACUUAAAAUUCCUGAGGCAAGGCAAGAUUCGAAUAUUAUUUUGAAAUUGGCAACCUCUAUCUCUACAAGUUGUAUGUACGUCUCAGACUAUCGCUUCUGUAGCUGGUGGUAGAUAGAAAUUUCUGCAGCAGGAAGAUGGCACACCAUGAGGCAACAGAUGAUUGCUUUCAGCAGAAAUCCCUUAGGCAAAUACCGUUUGACAAGUCAACAGAGUCUCUUUCUUUGAACCAAAUUCUUUUUGUCAAAUCUGAUAGACAAGCAGAAGAAACUUUGAAAAAUCUCUAGAAACCCUUGGAAGAUUUCUCUUUAAACUAAUCUUAGCUGUUAAUAGUUCAGGCUUUUAUUAAGAGAAGGCACAACAUUAAGAGGGUAUUCAAAACUUUUUGGUUAAGACCAUGAGAUCAUCGAGAGCUAUCAACAAAGGUAUAAUGAUUGUAACGUGUUUCUCAUUAUUUGUGAAAAAUAAUUUACAUUUUGAUAUGUAUAUGCACAACAUAAAAUUCAAAUCCUAUGUUGUUAGAAAAGAAAUCAGUCACCAUAUUUAUAUAUUUUGAUAACCACGUUAGUAAUUCGGCGUCGUCAGAACCUCCAAAAUAUAUUUCUAACUUUACUAUCACAAACAAAAUAAAUUCUUAGUAUAAUCAUGAUGUAACAUCCUCAAAUUAUAAUGUCAUAAAGUAUCAUAUUAGAAGGCUCUAUACAAAUUUUUCAGAAUUUUCUGAUAACCCGAUCAAGAAUUACAAAUUUUUUUGUUUUACAUGAAACUAGUCAAUUUAUGAUUUUUCGCCUAGAGAUUUUACACGUGAAAACCAGGUUAAACUCAAGGGAAAUUUCGUUUAAUAUUUCUAUAAUAUACUGAAAUGAAAAAGAACAAAGGAUUUGAAUAAAAAUUAAAAAAAAUAAAAUUCUGAAAAUAAAAUUAAUAAAUUGAUAUGUUGUUAACUCAGUUUAAAGGUUCUUACAUCCAUUUCUAUAAAUUUGUUGAUCAUCUAAGUAAAAUAAAUAUUCUUUUAUGUCAAGCAAAUAAAUUUGAUAUCCCUUAAAAUAGAGAGAAAUCGAUGAGAUUACGAGUACAUUAAUUAGACAAAGCUCUCUAAUCAAUUUCUUACCAUCAAACGAAUUUAAUAUUGAAAGCAAUUCUUAUUCACUCGGCAGUAGCCUUAGUAGUAAAGUUUGUGAAAUUAUUCUAAGCAAACUUUCAAAAGCUUGACAAUUUAACUUAAUUUAUUCUUUCCUAAUAAAUCAACAUGAGAAUUGCAACAAUCAAAUUAAUUCUUUUGCCUCUUAUUUUAGUCCCUAACAACAAUCACGGAUUGAAUGAAAUUAAAAAGCAUACAUGUCAUCUCAAAACAAUUCAAUAAGCUUGAAUAAUAGUCAAUAACAUAAUUCUGAAUAAGAAAAAAUAAAUAUUAAUUUUGAAAGAAUUUUGAAAGAAUUACAAUGAUAACAUUACUUCUCAUAACUUGUUAAUGGAGAUGGUGUGUAUUUCUCUUGAACUAAAAGCCAAAGUUUAGUUCAUAACUGCUAGAGAAUUGACAAAAACAGAGAAAAAAAGAAUGUUGCAAAGCCUCUGUUUCAGUCGUGUUCUGCUCUAUUUAUUCUCUCCCUUGGCUGUCGAAUUUCUUCAGAAUUCUUAGGUUAAUUAGAAGUCCUUAUGCUACUUAACUCCUUCCUUCUAUAUAUAGUCUCUAAGGUUGGUUAAAUCUCUCAGAAUUUGGUUGAAAAUAGACUCUGCUGCUGUCACAACUCUGCUGCAAUUCAAACUCUGCUGCAACUUAGACUUUGUUUCUAACAUGAUUUCUGGCAAUAUUCGACCAUUUCAGCUAUAUUCUUUCAUUCAUGGCAUGUUAGAGGCUUGAUUUACGCCUUUCUUAGGUCCUAAGGCCCACCUUUUCUAUGCCAGACUCUUAGCUGUAAUGUGAUGCUUGGCACUGUUAGUUUCCUUAUCAAAUUAGAAGACCAAUCUCAUCCUUCAGAUUGCGUCCAACAGUUUGUCUUCAAAACGAUUUUAUCUGACCUGAAAUCCUUCAUAAAAGUUGUAGCCCUAGAUGUGUAGAUGAUUUUGGGCUUUUGAAUCAUAUGAUUUUGAUGUUUGAGACUCAAAGAUAUACUUAUUUGAAUCUGUAAUGUGAAAGUAGAGGAUUUUGUUAUAAGUAAGAUUUCGGUUCGAUUUUGCGGGUCUGAUUAGAGGUCCAAUAGAAUUCAUAUUUCUACCCAUAAUACCUUUCUAGGAAGCUUGAUAUGUUUACUUUAACUUUUAUUUAGCCCAUGUUCACAUUAUAAAAUUAUAACUUAGUAAACAACUUGUCAUAAGAAGAAAAGUCUGAAACAUAAAAUAUAGAAAUUCUUAUAUUUUAGCAAUUAAUUUACAAAGUUUCCUAUACAUACUAAACUCAUAAAAAUAACUUUUAAUAAGCCCAGAUAAGUUCAAAAUACAUAAAAAUAUAAUAUAAAAAGAAUAAAAACAUAUGUAUAUUUUGCAUUUAUCAGUCAUAUUGUAAAAAAUAAUAAUUUAAAGUAAAGAAAUAUUAUUUAGUGCAUUUAGAUGAAUAAAUUAUUUUGAAUGGUGAUACCCAAAUUUGAAUUCAAAAAAUUAAAAUAAUUUCUCUUAAAUACCAACCUCACCAUUCAAUUUACAUAAAUGAUAUUUAUUAUAUACACACACAUUAGUUUAUGCAUGGAUUUCUCUCCUUACUGGGGUAAAAUGAAUGAGUUCUACAACAUCUUAUUUGCAUAUUUUUUGAAAAGUUGUUAAUUAAUGAUGCCAAACAUUUAAUUGGUGUUGAUAAUCACGAGAUUUCUUAAAUAACUUUCACACAUCUCAUUUGAGUAGACACCCAAAUUAGACUCCGAGUACGUGCUUUUUUUAUUUUAGAAUUUUGAUUUUUCAUGCCUUGUAAAGAUCAAUUUCUAAUCUAAAAAAUGAUUAGAUUAGAAAUAGGAAUUUCCCAUCUUCCAUUGUGUAAUGCAAGAGCCUUUGGAUCUCCUAGGAAAAGAACAAGAACACGGGUCUAAAUACAUUUUGUUAAUUUAUCUCUGCUUUGAUCGAGUCAAUAAAAAAUAUAGGCACCAAACUGAAAUCUGCACUAGCUCGAGUUAGAGUACGAUCAAGCCUACAAAGUACAAACACUCCAUAACAGUACCAAAAGAAACGGUUUUGAGUGAAUUUUUAUUUUUUCAGAACAUAAAUUAUAAAUUACAGAGCAUAAAGAGACAUGUUUUUCUUUUUUAUUUGUCUCGAGACACCAAAAAAUAUAUAAAAAGACUGGUUAACUAGAAAUUGUGAGCCAUUGUCUGAAACCACUCAUCUGCAGAAUCUAUAUGCCAAAAUUGAAUCUAGUCCUUCUUACUUGAGUGAUCCAUAUCAUCGAAGGACAUAGCAGGAAGUUUGCCACAAUCUUUAUGCACAAGUCCAGAAAUCCUGCCAAAAAGAUACUUGUAAAAUAUUCCAUCCCUUAAGAAUUUCAUCCACCAUUUAUCUCCACCGAGCUGCACCCAACCUGCUAAAUAUGAUCCUGUGACAAGAAAAGCAGCACGCCACCUCCUUUCCUUCACAUAAUCAUCUAUGGCUUUAGCCAUGUCUCCUGGAACAAUCAGCCCUCCAUUGUUUAUAACUGAAUUGCCAAUGUGUCUGCCCAAUACCACAGCAUCUUCUAGUGAUGAACCACCGCCUUGUCCUAGGUCAGGAGUCAUGGGGUGCAUAGCAUCACCAGCUACUGUCACAUGUCCUUUGCUUAGCUUUCCAAAUAUGAUGCCCCAUGGCUGCCUAAACAUCAACGGUGCCCAUGUUAAUGUUGAAAGAUCAGCAUGGCGGACCACGUCUAGGUAUGUUGAAGGAAACUUUUCUACAUGUUUCUCAAGUACAUGUUUCUGUAUUUGUUCGGGCUCUCCUGCCAUCUUAUCUCCUGAAUUGAAAAUUAGUUCAGAAUAAAUGUUCCCCGCAAUGAUCUGACAUGAACGAUCAUUUGUGUCCAGCUAAAACGAGAAAUAAGGAAGGGUUUAGUGCUAACCGCUGUAGGUUAAAAACCAGUAAAGUUCUCUGUCAUUAAGAGGAACAAAACCAGCUCUUUUGCCCACAUCCACGAACUGAUGAACUUCUUG